Molecule: long non-coding RNA, 984 nt
Filed under: Pan troglodytes (chimpanzee)
Lineage: Eukaryota; Metazoa; Chordata; Mammalia; Primates; Hominidae
Description: lncRNA (ENSPTRG00000053948.1)
Source: RNAcentral
CAGGAGGCAUUAAAAAUUAAACAAGAGAAGAGUCGAUCAGCUUCCAAUCUCGGGUUUAUAGACAGGAAAAUGCUUAAUGACAGGUGGUCUCUGUACCAGAGGUGGCCUCUGAGAGACAUUUCUCUUGAUUUUAUUUUUUAAUUAACUUUUAUUUUCAGUAUUUUGUCCCCCUUUUCUGCCCCCAAUGGAAUAAUAUUUAAAUGAUAAAAGGCUCACCGCUGUUUCCAGAGCAGCCCAGACCACCUCUCCACCCAGCUGCAAGGGGAGGGAAUCUUUAAAGAUCACUCUGUUUUGGAAUUCUACUGUUGCCAAGUGGCACACAUGGAUUCUCAUCAUAUGGCUCCCAACUGCAGUUCUUUAAGCUAAAGAGUGCAGUUCUUCACCGCUUCCUUGUGACAGUCUCCUAAUUACCCAUUCUGAGCCCUCUGAAACAGCAUUCCUCCUAGUUAAGGAUCUCUGCCAUCACCGCAAGACACCAGCACACCACACGUGCUAAAGUGGAUUUCUCAUCCUGCUCCAAGUUAGCCAAGAGCGUCUGUACAACCACUGGGAAGUCAACUUCACUUCAGAUCUCGCCUGCACCUCUCCACUCUAUGGUCUGCCCAGGAGCUAAUGGAUUUGGAGAUGUAGCAGACCUGGAGCUAACUCUAUCCUGCCGCUUAUUAGUGAGGCAGUCUUGGGCAGAGAGAACACUGACUCAGUUGAAGGUGCUCAGAAAGUCUUGACCUCAUAGAAUUCUUGCAAGUAUUAAAUGAGAAAAUGAAUAUAAAAGACUCAGCAGAGCACGUGACAUAAAGUAAGGACUAAAGAAAGAGAGGAUGUUGUUGCUACAAAUAUCACUACCUCCAGUUGUCAAAAUCCUUUCAUCAUGUCAAAAGUUAAUCCAAAUGCAACCUCCAAGGUUAUUGUAUUUGGAAGCGCUCUUUCCCCUCUGAACUGUAGAGCUAAAUUGCAUAGAGGGGAUUUCUCACAUAUAGCUAUUCC